AGGGUUCGAUUCUGGCUCAGGACGAACGCUGGCGGCGUGCUUAAUACAUGCAAGUCGAACGGAGCUUAGCCGAUAGUUACUAGAGGCGAAAGCUUAGUGGCGGACGGGUGAGUAACGCGUGGGUAAUCUGCCCCUAAGUCCGGGAUAACAGAGCGAAAGUUCUGCUAAGACCGGAUACUCUUUACCGGUUGCAUAACGGGUAAAGGAAAGGAAACGCUUGGGGAUGAGCCCGCGUCCCAUUAGCUAGUUGGAGAGGUAACGGCUCACCAAGGCGGCGAUGGGUAGCCGGCCUGAGAGGGUGGACGGCCACACUGGGACUGAGACACGGCCCAGACUCCUACGGGAGGCAGCAGUAGGGAAUUUUCCGCAAUGGGCGCAAAGCCUGACGGAGCAACGCCGCGUGAGGGACGAAGGUCUUCGGAUCGUAAACCUUUGUCAUCGAGGACGAUAAUGACGGUACUCGAGGAGGAAGCCCCGGCUAACUACGUGCCAGCCGCUGC
RNAcentral lists this ribosomal RNA (500 nucleotides) under uncultured bacterium. RNAcentral describes it as "bacterial SSU rRNA". It matches the Rfam family "Bacterial small subunit ribosomal RNA", at positions 8 to 518 of the family's 1533-position model. The record is from RNAcentral.